RNAcentral lists this ribosomal RNA (253 nucleotides) under uncultured bacterium. RNAcentral's name for it is "partial 16S ribosomal RNA". It matches the Rfam family "Bacterial small subunit ribosomal RNA", at positions 524 to 776 of the family's 1533-position model. The record is from RNAcentral.
UACGUAGGGUGCGAGCGUUGUCCGGAAUUACUGGGCGUAAAGAGCUCGUAGGCGGUCUGUCACGUCGGCUGUGAAAACCCGAGGCUCAACCUCGGGCCUGCAGUCGAUACGGGCAGACUAGAGUUCGGUAGGGGAGACUGGAAUUCCUGGUGUAGCGGUGAAAUGCGCAGAUAUCAGGAGGAACACCGGUGGCGAAGGCGGGUCUCUGGGCCGAAACUGACGCUGAGGAGCGAAAGCGUGGGGAGCGAACAGG